UGGGGAAUAUUGCACAAUGGGGGAAACCCUGAUGCAGCGACGCCGCGUGAACGAAGAAGGUAUUCGUAUCGUAAACUUCUGUCCUAUGGGAAGAUAAUGACAGUACCAUAGAAGAAAGCUCCGGCUAAAUACGUGCCAGCAGCCGCGGUAAUACGUAUGGAGCGAGCGUUGUCCGGAAUUAUUGGGCGUAAAGGGUACGCAGGCGGUUUAAUAAGUCGAAUGUUAAAGAUCGGGGCUCAACCCCGCAAAGCAUUGGAAACUGAUAAACUUGAGUAGUGGAGAGGAAAGUGGAAUUCCUAGUGUAGUGGUGAAAUACGUAGAUAUUAGGAGGAAUACCAGUAGCGAAGGCGACUUUCUGGACACAAACUGACGCUGAGGUACGAAAGCGUGGGGAGCAAACAGG
RNAcentral lists this ribosomal RNA (403 nucleotides) under bacterium. Its description in RNAcentral is "partial 16S ribosomal RNA". It matches the Rfam family "Bacterial small subunit ribosomal RNA", at positions 355 to 776 of the family's 1533-position model. The record is from RNAcentral.